CCUUUGACGUUAGCGGCGGACGGGUGAGUAACACGUGGGUAACCUACCUAUAAGACUGGGAUAACUUCGGGAAACCGGAGCUAAUACCGGAUAAUAUUUCGAACCGCAUGGUUCGAUAGUGAAAGGUGGUUUUGCUAUCACUUAUAGAUGGACCCGCGCCGUAUUAGCUAGUUGGUAAGGUAACUGCUUACCAAGGCGACGAUACGUAGCCGACCUGAGAGGGUGAUCGGCCACACUGUAACUGAGACACGGUCCAGACUCCUACGGGAGGCAGCAGAC
This 279-nucleotide ribosomal RNA is filed under the name uncultured Staphylococcus sp. RNAcentral describes it as "partial 16S ribosomal RNA". It matches the Rfam family "Bacterial small subunit ribosomal RNA", at positions 83 to 354 of the family's 1533-position model. Lineage: Bacteria; Bacillati; Bacillota; Bacilli; Caryophanales; Staphylococcaceae. The record is from RNAcentral.